AUUACAAAAUCUCCGGAAACUCUGUAUUUACUUGAUGAAUACCCUUAAACCCUUUUUCUAUGAUGACUGCUUGAGAAGGUUCAGAUGUGA
Molecule: small nucleolar RNA, 90 nt
Organism: Synchiropus splendidus (mandarinfish)
Lineage: Eukaryota; Metazoa; Chordata; Actinopteri; Syngnathiformes; Callionymidae
Product: small nucleolar RNA MBII-202
Exons: 1
Source: RefSeq, a predicted model, not a curated record